UUAAUAGGACAUGUUAUAGGGAUUGCUAAAAAGCACACACAUUGAACAUGUCAAGCAUCAACAACCACAUAUUUCUGGAUUUUUUUUAAAAGAACUCAACAGAUAAAUAGGCUACCAUGCGUGAUGAACUAAGCAGGAAGGCUUAAGAGAAAACUGCAGAAACUCAUUUUUGAUUAUGAGAAACUGCAAGGGCUGAAGUCAAAGCAGCCGAAGAGAUAAGGUUCUCUUCCUUUUUCUCUCCUGCAGUUAUGAUUGGGACUCGUCCCUGAUAAUCGUCGCCGCCCGGAGACGGCCGCACCGUGCGCCGCCGCGCGCUGGGUACCACGUGCGCAAGCGCCGCGCGUGGGAAGGCCGCGCCAUGGCCGCCGUUUCGGGCUGCCACUGCUCCAGGUGGUUGCGCCGCCAGCGUUGCCUUGCUUUGCUGACACGCAUGGAGCAAGUCACCGACGCCGGAGGGACGAGCCGCCGCGGCGCGCGCGCUUCAGGCGUCGCCGGCCGGAAGCCGACACAAUUCCCUCGGCAGGCGAGGCCAUCGAGAAAGUCGCUCCGCGUCGGAUGCGGUGUCCGCGUCGUGCGACAGGAGGCUUCACCGCGGCGGCCACAGCCGUUGGCCACUGCUACCUUCGACCGCCACAGCCUGCUGCCGCGUGGGCGCGAGCGCCGCAGUAACCGACAAGCGAGAUGGGUUCGCCGACCGGAAGAAAGAGCGCCGCGUCAGCCGUUGGCCGUCUCCACUUCAAGAGGAGUCGGGGCUGCAGAGGAGCCGCGCUAGGAAGCCCCACGCAGAGGCCGAAGGCCAUGGUCGUGUGUUGUUCUUCCCGCUGCUGCAUGCCGGAAGGCAGCCGAAGGCCAUGGCCUGCAUGCCUGAAGACAGUUUGUUGCGUAAAGGAUUAAAAUCGGAAGGGAUAUGGAUCGAAGUUUGUUGUUGCUCCAUGGCCGUGGUCGUCCCGUCCGUAACCGUCUCGUUGGGAUGGCCUAGUCGCUCUGUUCGGAGAAACUACAGUGCUGAUAACGUGUUCGAAGUAAUUGCAAGAGGCAAAUGACAA
Long non-coding RNA from Triticum aestivum (bread wheat), 1046 nucleotides. RefSeq lists it as uncharacterized. The record is from RefSeq and is a predicted model, not a curated record. The transcript is spliced from 2 exons. NCBI's taxonomy places the organism in Eukaryota, Viridiplantae, Streptophyta, Magnoliopsida, Poales, Poaceae.